GGUCCUUGUUUUGUUUCAGGCAAGAAAAAGAUGAAAAUCUGCAUCUUCAUAACAAGCUAUCUCAAAUCCAGCCUUGUUUUACAGCAAGCAGAUUUAACUGAGUCUGCUGGGAUCUGUGCUGAAGGAGAUUUUGGCAGUUUUAUUAUCAUCCCGUAAGAAAAAGCUUUUGUCUAUAAAGCAUUAUCUUAAUUAUCUUAAAGAUCAGCUGCUGGCACAGAGAAAGAUCAGACAAAAUUUUUUUUGAGGAAUCCACUAGCUGUAGUGGCAGGGCAGCCUGGGGACAGUGUUUAUGUCAGCAAAGGUAAAAUGCUAUAAUAGAGGUAAAAUAAAGGUAAAAAUAAAGGUAAAAUGCUAACUGCAUUCAGUUUGCAGGGGUGUUUGAAGAGCAGAAAUGCUAAAAUGGCCAGAAAGAAGCAGUCAUACUCCUGGGCUUCAAGGAGUUGGAAGUACCAUCUCUGGGAAACUGAAGUAAAAGAAGGGGAAUUUUUUUUUUUUUUUUUUUUUUUUUUUUUUUUUUUUUUUUUCAGAAAGCAACUGUAGUCAAGGAGUCUGGGCUCAUAGCUCCCAAAGACAAGGCACUGGAAGGUACAUAACACAAAGAAAGAUACGUAAAUGUUGAUAGCAGGUGGAGUAACAGGGAACAGCCUGUUUUCUUGUUGAACGCUCUUUUGCUUGCUUUAGUCACGUGUAUGUGAUACUACACAGUGGGUCGAGAAGGUGGAAUUUGGUUCAUAGUCUGUUCACUGCUGUAUCAGAAAUGUGACCUUGGGUAUCUGCCACUUUUCUGUGUUUGUAUUAUUUUUCAGGUGCCUGAUCAUCUGGGUCCAGGUCACUGCCUAUAGACUGAGGCAGCAGGAAGCCCUCUCUUUUUUCAGAAGAGUCCAAGAGCACCAUCUCCUAGUAGCAAGCUUUGCUGAGUGGAGAAUGAAAUUCUUGACAGCUAAACAGCAGGUGCUGAGAGAGGAGAGAGACCACGAGUGGCAGGGACGUUCUCAGGCUAAAGCCUGUCACCGUUGGCGAGUGGCCUCGAGGGGACGGCAAGCCUUCCGCCUAGGGUCUGUGGCUGCUGUGAAACAGGCCUGCAACUACUGGACAAAAACAGCUGCCUUUUCCCAGUGCUCACGGCAAUGCAGUACCCUGAUAGGUGCUAGGAAGAGCAGGAAGAUGUCUCUGUCUUGGUCCCUAAAAAGGAGAGGAUGCAGAGAAAAGGCUUCAGCACUUGCUUCCUCCUUUGGGCUUUUUCCCAGUGCUGUUCGCCGUUGGCUGGUGAUCUACAGAAACCAAAGGAGAGCUGAAAGGCUGCAGCUCCCUCAGCUGCUAGAAAGACAUGGCUUGGUAGGACCUGUUCCUGCACAUGCCAGGAUCCAGGAGAACAAAGCAGAGGUGGACUCUGAGGAGUGGGAUGAGAAGUGGCUUGGGAGGAAGUAUCUGAGGUGGUGGCAUCGCACAGUGAUGCUGCGCCGGUGCCAGCGUGGCAGGAGGCUGCACUGUCUGGCAAGGGGAUGGCAUCGAUGGAAAGAAGCCAGCAGGGUGGUGAUGCUGGCACAAGUAUUGGACCAGCAGCGGCUGAUAGAAAAGGCCUGGAGGGCAUGGAGACGCCGAUACUUACAAAGCUGUGUGGUGCAGAGCUUUUUGGAGGUAGAAGCCAGGAGCUUACUGUCCCAGGCCUUUGGAAGGUGGCGCCAGCUAACAGCAUUCCAGCUCAAGGACAAAGGACACUGCUGA
This 1725-nucleotide long non-coding RNA is filed under the name Anas platyrhynchos (mallard). RNAcentral's name for it is "lncRNA (ENSAPLG00020012825.1)". The record is from RNAcentral. Lineage: Eukaryota; Metazoa; Chordata; Aves; Anseriformes; Anatidae.